CAAACCUGCAGAGAAUCUGCCGCUCACUUUCCUAUUAACAGAAUAGUGAAAUGUUUUCAAUUGGUGGGAAAAAGAUCCUGAUUUCAAGAAAGAAUAUCCUAUUGUUUCUUUGUGAUGGCAGUCAUAUGCUUACGAAAUAAUAGGGGAUAUUCUCCUGGGAAUUUAUAGAGAAGUCAUUCUCCCUUACAAAAGGGGCAUGCUUGAGCGAAGUGUACACACUUGCCACCAUGUUUCCCUCCUGUCAUAAAUGUGACAAGAGUAAUAUAGCUGAAGCAGCCAUCUUGUGACCACAAGCAACGGACUAGUAGGGGAAGAGUCGACACACUGAAGAGAAGAAAGCAAAAAGAAGAAAGAGAAAAGUGGAUUCUCAACUAGAAGCAAAAACAUCCACUGAAGUUUGUGAGAGUGCAAUAGGCAGUGCCACAGAUCUUUCUGAGGAAGUACUACCAUAUGACUUCACCUUCUCAGGCUGAGGUAUCAGCUUGACUGUCACUCCACAGAUCAAGACUAGAGGUAAAUGUAAACACUAUACAGGUGGGAUGAGAAACAGCUGUUCAGCUGCCUGGCUAGAAGAACAGGCCCAGUUCUUUGCUACAGGAUGGACAUGGAAAAGUUCAGGCAUUUGAAGUUACUGGCGUCAGCCACAUGAGAUUGAUGACGGGAUUGGCUUCUACAAGAGGUCCAUGUGGUUCUCAUUUCUGAAAACAGAUGUUUGGAAACCAAUGUUUUCAAAGAUAAUAUGAAACUACACCAAUAUGCUGCACUAUGGAGAAAAACUAACCUUGACAGAAGAAAAAAGAUUUUCUUGAGGCAGAAGAUGAAGGACUAUUGGUCGGGACAUUCACAGAAGUCUGUUCUGUAAGUUGGGUUAUAUGGAAGCAGAGAUGCUAGGUCAACCCAUGUUGUGCCCUCCCUCUUUUGGUAAGCAAAACACUGAUGCUUAUGACAUCUUCCUUUUCUUUGGUGGUGGCCUUGAAAAUUGUUAUUCCUUCCAGAAAGGGCUGGAUGUCACUCGCUUAUGAAUUUGAAUCCUUCUCUUUUUGCCAAAUGAUAGAACUGAGCUUGCUCCAUGAGCUUCAUGUGUGUAAACAUUAGUGGGGAUCCAAGUGGCUCUGCAGGUAGAAUAGACACUCAGGUCCCUCCUGCCCAAGUCCAGGGGCUUGCUUCCAUGAAUCCAAUCCUUUAGUUCAUAUCAGUUCAUGGUGUACCAGAAGCCUCAACACAUCUGCAAAUUUUUACAGAACAUGUUUGUGCAAGGAAAUAAAUUAGGUCACCAGGCCUUCAAAGGCUCCUUCCACUUAGGGGUGGUGGAGCCCAUGAAGCUGAGAAUCACCCUUGCCAGCUGUUGGAACUUGAAAUAAUCCUCCAAAAACCUCUUGCUAUUUUAGGAGGGUCAUCCUGGUGGGUCUGUGUAUGCUGUAAAAGAGUGGCUCACUAUUUAACCACCCAUCUCUACUGUGCUGAUUUAGGGACCACGAUCACUUGAGCUUUUCUUGGUGCCUGGGAUCUGUCUUUCUGCACAGGGAUAAUCUAGGCUUAUUUGUGGCUUUUUUCCCCUGCAUUUCCUUUACUUGCUCACUUUCCUUCUUUUCCUCACUAUGUUUCCAUUUGAAAUCAGUUUUCACAUAUGCAUUUCAGUGCAACUCUACCUUCAGGAACUUACUGGAUUACACAGGAAAUUCCUUAUAGUGUGUGACCAUCUGCACUGCAAACAAUUUUCAGGGAAUUGACUAGCUACUAAUACCACUUACAAAAAAUCUAAUAAGGGGUUUAACAUUUUCAUAAGGAAAAUUAAUAUUUAUAUUUUCUGUUUUGGUUGGGUUACAUUUUUACUAUUUUGAGAAAAAAAGUAUUGCAUUUUUAAAAAGUGAACAAAAAAAGCUCUCAUACAAUUGAAUGGUAUUGCCAAAAGAAAUUAAGAAGUCAGAAUUUGAUGAUUCAAUAUAUUAUAAAUAUAUUUUUGACCAUAGUCCUAAACUAUCAUCUGUCAAGUUGUAUUAUUUUGAGUACAUAAGUAUUUUUCAUGUUCUUAUUUGUUUUCUAUAAUGCCUCAUAACAUAUAUAGCUCUGUGAGUCUGUUCUUUCAGAAGAUCUUAUCUCUUGUUAGUUUUCAAGGAUUUCCAGGUUCACAGCAGCUGACUUUUUACUACACAUUUUAUGACUCUAAAACCAUUAGAAGAACAUCAAUGCUUCCCUAAAUUGGUUUUUUGGAGAAAAUGUAAUAUGUUUGAUGAAUUCAAAUAAAAAGAUGGAAACAUAACAGCA
Molecule: long non-coding RNA, 2265 nt
Organism: Homo sapiens (human)
Lineage: Eukaryota; Metazoa; Chordata; Mammalia; Primates; Hominidae
Exons: 3
Source: RefSeq, a predicted model, not a curated record